This 841-nucleotide ribosomal RNA is filed under the name Panorpodes paradoxus. RNAcentral describes it as "partial 16S rRNA". The record is from RNAcentral. Lineage: Eukaryota; Metazoa; Arthropoda; Insecta; Mecoptera; Panorpodidae.
GAAGGUGUAUCUAGAAAGACAAAUUAGAGCUUGAAAAGUAAAGCAUUUCAUUUACAUUGAAAAGUAUAUUGUGUAAUUCAAUUUAAUUUGAUAAUAAUAGAAAUUUAUUAAUUUUUUUUGUUUAAAUAAUUAUUUUAAUAAAAUUAAUUUUAAGUUAGUUAAUUUUUUUGUAUAAUAUAUAGAUCAAAUAAUUUAUAUAAUAGUUAAUUAGUAUUGUAAAAGAAUAUUGAAAUAUAUGAAAAAGUUUUAAAUUAAAAGUAAAUUUUAUAUAUUGUACCUUGUGUAUCAGGGUUUAUUAAUUAAAAGUUAAAAAUUUAAUUUUUCUCGAAUUUGAGAGAGUUAAUUUAUUAUUUAAUUUUUUGUUUCAUAAAAAUUUAAAAUAAUAAAUUAGAAAUGAAAUGUUAUUCGUUCUUAAAUAUAUCUAGUUUUUUAAGAAAUAAAUUAAAUUUAGAUUAUUAAUAAAUAAUUAUUUAUUUAAAUAAUAAAUUAUUAUUAAUAGUUAAUAUUUUAAGGGAUAAGCUUUAAAGUAAGUUUUAUAAUAAUUUUUUAAUUUGAAAAUUAUAGAUUUAGAAAUAGUCAUUAAUUAUAAAAAUGUUAUAAUUUAUUUUAAAUUAAAAAUAAUUUUUAUUAAUUUAAGUUUUUAUUAAAAUAAUUUUUAAAAUUAUGUAAGAAUUAAAAUAAUGAUAAAAUUAGUAUAUUUAAUUGUUUUAAAUAAAUAGAUUGAAAGGUUAAAUUAAGGAACUUGGCAAAUAAAUACUCGCCUGUUUAACAAAAACAUGUCUUUUUGAAUAUAAUUUAAAGUCUAAUCUGCCCACUGAAAAUUUUAAAGGGCCGCGGUAUU